CGAAAAGAACCCCGGCGAGGGGAGUGAAAAAGAACCUGAAACCGUGUACGUACAAGCAGUGGGAGCACGCUUAGGCGUGUGACUGCGUACCUUUUGUAUAAUGGGUCAGCGACUUAUAUUCUGUAGCAAGGUUAACCGAAUAGGGGAGCCGAAGGGAAACCGAGUCUUAACUGGGCGUUAAGUUGCAGGGUAUAGACCCGAAACCCGGUGAUCUAGCCAUGGGCAGGUUGAAGGUUGGGUAACACUAACUGGAGGACCGAACCGACUAAUGUUGAAAAAUUAGCGGAUGACUUGUGGCUGGGGGUGAAAGGCCAAUCAAACCGGGAGAUAGCUGGUUCUCCCCGAAAGCUAUUUAGGUAGCGCCUCGUGAAUUCAUCUCCGGGGGUAGAGCACUGUUUCGGCAAGGGGGUCAUCCCGACUUACCAACCCGAUGCAAACUGCGAAUACCGGAGAAUGUUAUCACGGGAGACACACGGCGGGUGCUAACGUCCGUCGUGAAGAGGGAAACAACCCAGACCGCCAGCUAAGGUCCCAAAGUCAUGGUUAAGUGGGAAACGAUGUGGGAAGGCCCAGACAGCCAGGAUGUUGGCUUAGAAGCAGCCAUCAUUUAAAGAAAGCGUAAUAGCUCACUGGUCGAGUCGGCCUGCGCGGAAGAUGUAACGGGGCUAAACCAUG
RNAcentral lists this ribosomal RNA (675 nucleotides) under Escherichia coli. RNAcentral's name for it is "partial 23S ribosomal RNA". It matches the Rfam family "Bacterial large subunit ribosomal RNA", at positions 515 to 1191 of the family's 2925-position model. The record is from RNAcentral. Lineage: Bacteria; Pseudomonadati; Pseudomonadota; Gammaproteobacteria; Enterobacterales; Enterobacteriaceae.